AGCCACUCUAAAAAAAAAANAAAAAAAAAAAAAAAAAAAAACAGCUGAUACCUGCAUAAUGCCUGGCUCUUUGUAUUUUCACUUUGACAUCUGUUUUAGCCAAUCAAUUUUUCAUUGAAGCCAAAAUGCUGCUUUAAAAUUUGCCUUGGCUUUCUCCUUUUAAGACAAGAACAAAUUUAUGAAGAAAAUACUCCUUUACAAAACGCAAUGCCGGCUCCCCAAGCUGUGUGGAUCUUAAUAAGUGGCAUAGUUUUGAAGACUCGCUUUGAAUAGUCUAGAUAUUAAGACGGAUGAUUUAAAGAAUCCACGGAACUUAUUUUCAGAGCGCAUUUACAUGUCUUUCAAACAGAUUUUUUUAUUAUGACGUGUCCAAGAUGAGCUUGCAGAGAUUUAGCUUCGUUUAAGAAGAGCAGCGCCCAAGUACAGAAUUGAAAUUAGUUGAAAACACACAUCUGCAUUUUAAACUUUAAGCUCGCUUUCAAAAUACCCUGUGCAAUCCAUGUUUACUAUAAAUACGGCGAGGCUCAGUCUGCAUGCAAAGAGUGGGGGCCACCUGAUGGUCUGAACAAACUGGGAAGGAAACCAGGCAUUUCUCCAGAGCAGGAAAACUCUCUGGAGAGGAUGGGUGAGGAACAGUUCUGAUUCCAGAAAAAACUUCUCCAGUUACUCAGUGUAUCCUGACUGCAGGGGUGAAUCAGUCCUAUCACAGAAGACUUGUGGAAAAAAGGCAGGUCAACAAUAGAAAGCAAUUUUCUAAAUGUAUAGGAUCUCAG
Molecule: long non-coding RNA, 773 nt
Filed under: Vulpes vulpes (red fox)
Lineage: Eukaryota; Metazoa; Chordata; Mammalia; Carnivora; Canidae
Description: lncRNA (ENSVVUG00000012552.1)
Source: RNAcentral